UCCCUGAUGGUCCAGUGGUUAGGACUUGAUGCUUUCACUGCUGUGGGCCUGGGUUCGAUCCCUGGUUGAGGAA
RNAcentral lists this transfer RNA (73 nucleotides) under Capra hircus (goat). It matches the Rfam family "tRNA". From Rfam's summary of the family: Transfer RNA (tRNA) molecules are approximately 80 nucleotides in length. Their secondary structure includes four short double-helical elements and three loops (D, anti-codon, and T loops). Lineage: Eukaryota; Metazoa; Chordata; Mammalia; Artiodactyla; Bovidae. The record is from Rfam by way of RNAcentral. RNAcentral also lists the same sequence under 1 other name.